GUGGAUUAGUGGCGAACGGGUGAGUAACACGUGGGCAAUCUGCCCUUCACUCUGGGACAAGCCCUGGAAACGGGGUCUAAUACCGGAUAACACUCUGUCCCGCAUGGGACGGGGUUAAAAGCUCCGGCGGUGAAGGAUGAGCCCGCGGCCUAUCAGCUUGUUGGUGGGGUAAUGGCCUACCAAGGCGACGACGGGUAGCCGGCCUGAGAGGGCGACCGGCCACACUGGGACUGAGACACGGCCCAGACUCCUACGGGAGGCAGCAGUGGGGAAUAUUGCACAAUGGGCGAAAGCCUGAUGCAGCGACGCCGCGUGAGGGAUGACGGCCUUCGGGUUGUAAACCUCUUUCAGCAGGGAAGAAGCGAAAGUGACGGUACCUGCAGAAGAAGCGCCGGCUAACUACGUGCCAGCAGCCGCGGUAAUACGUAGGGCGCAAGCGUUGUCCGGAAUUAUUGGGCGUAAAGAGCUCGUAGGCGGCUUGUCACGUCGGAUGUGAAAGCCCGGGGCUUAACCCCGGGUCUGCAUUCGAUACGGGCUAGCUAGAGUGUGGUAGGGGAGAUCGGAAUUCCUGGUGUAGCGGUGAAAUGCGCAGAUAUCAGGAGGAACACCGGUGGCGAAGGCGGAUCUCUGGGCCAUUACUGACGCUGAGGAGCGAAAGCGUGGGGAGCGAACAGGAUUAGAUACCCUGGUAGUCCACGCCGUAAACGUUGGGAACUAGGUGUUGGCGACAUUCCACGUCGUCGGUGCCGCAGCUAACGCAUUAAGUUCCCCGCCUGGGGAGUACGGCCGCAAGGCUAAAACUCAAAGGAAUUGA
This 814-nucleotide ribosomal RNA is filed under the name Streptomyces sp. RNAcentral describes it as "bacterial SSU rRNA". It matches the Rfam family "Bacterial small subunit ribosomal RNA", at positions 87 to 913 of the family's 1533-position model. Lineage: Bacteria; Bacillati; Actinomycetota; Actinomycetes; Kitasatosporales; Streptomycetaceae. The record is from RNAcentral.